UUAUUCUGAGCCGCCGUUUCAACAUUUUCCAUUUUAUGGUGAAAGUUCUGUACAUCUAAUUAGUUCUGAAGUUUAAAUAUACUUGGAUUUCAAAUCUGCUAUCUUUGCUGAGUUGGAUCUGUAUUCCACCAGAUCCGGUAGCUUCUCUGGUAUGUUCCACAUUUUCUUCUACUCAGUUACAGGGGAAAGCAAUUGCUGGUAUAUGCCAUAUUUGCUGAGAUUCAAAUUAUGCAAUCAAUUCUAAUUCAUAAACUAUGACCGUGAAGAGUGAAGAGAUUAGAAGAAGAAGAGAGAUGAAGAAAAUGGCUGCUGCAGGAUUUAUUUUGUUACACCUGAUCAUCUUUCCUUGUUUGUUCAUAACGAUCUCAGCCGAGUGUACCACCUCUACCAAGAGCAACAGUACCAUUACCAACAACAACGACGGUUGGAUUACGGUAACUAACACUACCACUAGCUGGACAAAUUGUACCAGUAGUACCAGCAGCACCACUACUACAAAUUCUGUAGGAAGCAUCGUGGUCAACCGGCGUAAGGGUACUGGUGCAUUCUCGUUAUUUGUCAUUCUCAUUGCAACUGCCCUGAUUAUGUAAUUCAAUGCUCAACUUUUAGGGUUUUCAUUUCAGCUAUCUGAGUUACUAGCCAAUCUCGGAAUGUUUAUCAAAUGGAAAAAAUAGUAGUGUUUGGGUACUCAAAUCAUGAUGGUCAGGUCAAUGGUUAGCCAUUUAACUAUAGGUGUAUCUGUGUUUCUUGCAAUACUAUUAUUGUAAAGAUCAUGAUAAUACAAUUCAGUAAUUCUAAACA
Papaver somniferum (opium poppy) is the source of this 801-nucleotide long non-coding RNA. RefSeq lists it as uncharacterized. NCBI's taxonomy places the organism in Eukaryota, Viridiplantae, Streptophyta, Magnoliopsida, Ranunculales, Papaveraceae. The transcript is spliced from 3 exons. The record is from RefSeq and is a predicted model, not a curated record.